This 253-nucleotide ribosomal RNA is filed under the name uncultured bacterium. RNAcentral describes it as "partial 16S ribosomal RNA". It matches the Rfam family "Bacterial small subunit ribosomal RNA", at positions 524 to 776 of the family's 1533-position model. The record is from RNAcentral.
UACGUAGGGUGCGAGCGUUAAUCGGAAUUACUGGGCGUAAAGCGUGCGCAGGCGGUGAUGUAAGACAGGUGUGAAAUCCCCGGGCUUAACCUGGGAACUGCAUUUGUGACUGCAUCGCUGGAGUGCGGCAGAGGGGGAUGGAAUUCCGCGUGUAGCAGUGAAAUGCGUAGAUAUGCGGAGGAACACCGAUGGCGAAGGCAAUCCCCUGGGGUAACACUGACGCUCAUGCACGAAAGCGUGGGGAGCAAACAGG